UGCAACGCGAAAACCUUAACCUACCCUUCGUACACUGUCCGGAAGUACCUCGCAGAGAUGCGGGAGUGCCCGAAAGGGAAUCGGAACACAGGUGCUGCAUGGCUGUCGUCAGCUCGUGUCGUGAGAUGUUGGGUUAAGUCCCGCAACGAGCGCAACCCUUAUCAUUAGUUGCUACGCAAGGGCACUCUAAUGAGACUGCCGGUGACAAACCGGAGGAAGUGGGGAUGACGUCAAGUCCUCAUGGCCCUUAUGGGUAGGGCUUCACACGUCAUACAAUGGUCGGUACAGAGGGUUGCCAAGCCGCGAGGUGGAGCCAAUCCCAGAAAGCCGAUCGUAGUCCGGAUUGUUCUCUGCAACUCGAGAGCAUGAAGUCGGAAUCGCUAGUAAUCGCGGAUCAGCAUGUCGCGGUGAAUACGUUCCCGGGUCUU
RNAcentral lists this ribosomal RNA (428 nucleotides) under uncultured Thiobacillus sp. Its description in RNAcentral is "bacterial SSU rRNA". It matches the Rfam family "Bacterial small subunit ribosomal RNA", at positions 955 to 1382 of the family's 1533-position model. The record is from RNAcentral. Lineage: Bacteria; Pseudomonadati; Pseudomonadota; Betaproteobacteria; Nitrosomonadales; Thiobacillaceae.